ACUCAAAGGAAUAGACGGGGACCCGCACAAGCGGUGGAUGAUGUGGUUUAAUUCGAUGCUACGCGAAGAACCUUACCAAGGCUUGACAUCCCAGGAAGGCGCUGGAAACAGUGCUGUGCCUUCGGGAACCUGGUGACAGGUGCUGCAUGGCCGUCGUCAGCUCGUGUCGUGAGAUGUUGGGUUAAGUCCCGCAACGAGCGCAACCCUUAUCGUCUGUUGAAUUUUUCAGGCGAGACUGCCCCGGCCAACGGGGAGGAAGGUGGGGUCGAAGUCAGGUCAGCAUGGCCCUUACGCCUUGGGCUACACACGUCAUACAAUGGCCGGUACAACGCGAAGCCAACCCGCGAGGGGGAGCUAAUCGUACCAAAACCGGUCCCAGUUCGGAUUGAAGGCUGCAACUCGCCUCCAUGAAGUUGGAAUCGCUAGUAACCGUGGGUCAGCAUACCACGGUGAAUACGUUCCCGGGUCUUGUACACACCGCCCGU
Molecule: ribosomal RNA, 485 nt
Filed under: uncultured bacterium
Lineage: Bacteria
Description: partial 16S ribosomal RNA
Rfam family: Bacterial small subunit ribosomal RNA
Source: RNAcentral